CAUGCAUGUCUAAGUAUGAACUGGUUUAAGGUGAAACUGCGUACGGCUCAUUACAUCAGCUAUAACUUUCUUUGAUCAUAAAUUCUAAAUGGAAUAACCGAGGAAAAGCCUGGGCUAAUACAUGCGACAAUUCCGGUAGUAAUAUCGGAAUGCUUUUAUUAGAUCAAAACCUUCUAGUUCUUUUACGAGAACUGUUUGUUGGUGACUCUAAAUAACUUUGUGUUGAUCGUAUGACCUUUGUGUCGACGACAUAUCUUUCAAGUGUCUGACUUAUCAACUUUAGACGGUACAUUAUAUGUCUACCGUGGUUGUAACGAGUACAGAGAAUCAGGGUUUGGUUCUGGAGAGGCCGCCUGAGAAACGGCGACCACUUCCAAGGAAGGCAGCAGGCGCGCAAAUUACCCACUCUCAAAACGAGGAGGUAGUGAAGAGAAAUAACGAUGUUAGUCUUCUAUAGGCUGACAAUCGGAAUGGGAACACUGUAAACAGGUUAUCGAAAACUAAAGUUGCUGUGUUUAAAAAGCUCGUAGUUGAAUUUCGGGUAUUUGUUGCUAGCUGGUCCUAGUGGCCAUGUUGGUUAACAGAUCCUCAUUUGCUGGACGGCUAUCGAUGAUCUUUACCGAUUGUCGUUAGUUGCCAGAACGUUUACUUUGAGAAAAUUAGAGUGCUAAAAGCAGGCUCACGCCUAUAUAUAUUCAUGGAAUAAUGAAAUAAGAUCUCGAUUUUAUUUCGUUGGUUUUAGAAAUUGAGAUAAUGAUUAAUAGGAUCAGAGGGGGGCGUACGUACUGUGGUGUGAGAGGUGAAAUUCUUGGAUCGCCACAGGACGAACAGCAGCGAAGGCGUUCGCCAAGAAUGUUUUCAUUAAUCAAGAACGAAAGUUUGAGGUUCGAAGACGAUUAGAUACCGUCCUAGUUCAAACCAUAAACGUUGCCAACUGUCUUUUAGAUGCGGUUAUUUAUAUGACUCAUCUGGCGGAUCUCGAGAAAUCUAAGUUUUUAGGUUCCGGGGGAAGUAUGGUUGCAAAGCUGAAACUUAAAAGAAUUGACGGAAGGACACACAAGAAGUGGAGCCUGUGGCCUAAUUUGACUCAACACGGGAAACCUUACUCGGCCAGGACACUUUUAGGAUUGACAGAUUGAGAGCUCUUUCUUGAUUAGGUGGGUGGUGGUGCAUGGUCGUUCGUAGUUCGUGGAGCGAUUUGUCUGAUUAAUUUCGAUAACGAACGAGACUCCGGCUUACUAAAUAGUCUAAAGUUCGAAGGGACUUUUCAAGACUUCUUAGCAGGAUAAGUGGCACUUUUUAAGCCACACGAAAUGGAGCAAUAACAGGUCUGUGAUGCCCUUAGAUGUCCGAGGCUGCACGCGCGCUACACUGGAGAGUUCAGAAUGUUUCUUCCUACUUCGACAGAAGUGGGUAACCAUGAAAUUCUCUUCGUGACUGGGAUCGGAGCUUGCAAUUAUUCUCCGUCAACGAGGAAUUCCUAGUAAGCACUAUUUCAUCAGAAUGUGCUGAUUAUGUCCCUGUCCUUUGUACACACCGCCCGUCGCUACUACCGAUUGAAUGUUUUAGUGAGAUCUUCGGCUUGGUUUUCCGAGCGACUUUCGGGUCGUUCGGUAUAUAUCGAAAAGAUGCUCAAACUGGAUCAUUAGAGGAAGUAAAAGUCGUAA
Molecule: ribosomal RNA, 1667 nt
Filed under: Rotaria macrura
Lineage: Eukaryota; Metazoa; Rotifera; Eurotatoria; Philodinida; Philodinidae
Description: SSU rRNA
Rfam family: Eukaryotic small subunit ribosomal RNA
Source: RNAcentral